AGCUCCUCGAGUGGUGGGGAUGAUUAUUGGGCCUAAAGCGUCCGUAGCCGGCUAGGUAAGUCCUCCGUUAAAUCCAACGACCUAAUCGUUGGGCAGCGGGGGAUACUGCAGAGCUAGGGGGCGGAAGAAGCUAGCUGUACUCCUGGGGUAGGGGUGAAAUCCUAUAAUCCCAGGAGGACAACCAGUGGCGAAGGCGGUUAGCUAGAACGCGCCCGACGGUGAGGGACGAAAGCUGGGGGAGCGAUCCGGAUUAGAUACCCGAGUAGUCC
RNAcentral lists this ribosomal RNA (269 nucleotides) under uncultured archaeon. RNAcentral's name for it is "partial 16S ribosomal RNA". It matches the Rfam family "Archaeal small subunit ribosomal RNA", at positions 478 to 747 of the family's 1478-position model. The record is from RNAcentral.